UUUCUUUCACGUUUCGGAAAGCCCAGUUUAGAAAAACGAAAGCUCAUGUUGUGACUCAUUUAUUACUAAUCAGUUUAAGGCUGCAAAUCCUGCGGUGAGUUUUAUUAAUCUUGGACCAAACUGAACAUACCCCGGCUUGUGCAACACGGUUUAAAGUCUGCUUUUUCGAUGCGUGUGAACGUGUGUUAAAGCACGUAGGAGGCUUAAUUAUGAUAAAGAAAGUUUAGAAUGAGGACAGGAGGAGUUUAAAAGUGUACACACAGUUCUCAUCCAGCUGAAUUUGGACUUGAGUGUGGAGUUGGAGGGCUUUCACGGAGUAAACACUGGUAACAGACAGUUGGAAGCUUUCAAUGAGGAGAAAGGGGGACUGUUUGGGUGUAUUUUGGCAGCUGUUUUGGCGUACAGUCGCACUGGUAAUGGUGUGAAGGUGGGGGCUGCCGGCUUGGGAUUUUUGGUAAAUGUGCCGUUAUUUACGAGUCGGGUGGGCUGAGGGGGACAAUAAACUUUCAUUUCUGGGAAAGCCAUUGGAUUUUACUAGACUUUGUAGGACCUAUAAGAGUGCAAAAAAGCAAGAGUGAAAAAAAAAGAAGAGAAGGGGAACCAGAAAGUAUUUAACAAGCGCAAGAAGUGUUUCCAUAUUGGGCUUGUCACACACAACACACUAAUAAUGUCAGUUCUCUCCUGCGCUGACUGAGCUGCCAUUUGGGCCUGACGUGACACUAAUUGUGCUUACUGGAAAAACACACAAGCGGGGCUGUGUAUGUUUCUGAGCACAUGCUAAUGACAUUAAACCAAACUCCAGUCGCUUCUGGCUUGAAAGAGCGCCAUAUCACGAAAAAAGGAAAAGUUGCUGACACAUGUUUUCGGUCAAAUUACCAUAAACAUCGGGCUUGACAAGCCAUUAAGUCACAUAAUCAGCGUUGAGACUCUAUUGUUCUUAAAUGAGGAGUGAAACUGUGCCAGUGGGGUGAAAUAUUUCCACUUGUUUUCAGUUUGGUUUCUUUCGUUUGAAGGAAUAUCUCUGAAAUUAAGCGUCAGUACCUUGAAAUGAGACAUAACCCGGCGGUAGCAUGAAGAAAUUAACAUUUGGUUUCAAUCAUUUUUGAACAAGUAGCUUUUGUGUCCACCUGGAAGUUUAAAAAGCUCAAAAAUGGACUAAUUGACUUGUAAGGAAGGGAGUUGUUGGGUCUGAACCGGUAGGUGCUUCCACUUUUUGGCAGACAGGCAAUUGGACCCCUGUGUGGUAUACGGCUGCAGGACAAUCCCCAUUGUCCUGUUGGAUACAAGUGGCUGGAGCCCAGGAACUGCUCUGGACUGGAUGUUAGGACCUGGCAACAGAAAAUUACAGCUUUGGCCAGGAAAAGUCAACCAAAUGGGCUGAUUCUUCUCAUUCAGCCCGGAGGAGUCCUCACAGCUGCACUUCCUUUCAUUGCCAGGGAAGAAGACGGUCUGAAAGAGGGAGAGGAGAAAGAGAAGGCGGAGUGGGGAACAGUUGGGGGCAUUUGGACUGGACCAGCCUCAAAGAGCUUGUGGGUUGUUUUUCUUUACGGCAAAAGGCAGAAAAAAAGAAGAAGCAGCUUCGACUCAUCUUGGACAUCAGACUCUAUUUUGGGGCUUUGCUGUUAGGGCUGUGGGCAAUCACGCAAAAUCCCCCCGAGUUGUUUUCUUGCAGUGAUUAGAGUCGCUUUUGUGAAAGUACAAUCAAAGAGUUAAGAUGUAAUCUAGCCACAGCAAGAACAUUAGUCCAUACUCCUCUGAGGAAACCGUUCAGCUAUAUAGGCUCCUUGAUCUUCAUCCACAUAGCAUUGGUUUUGCUCAUUUCCUCCUCACUUCCCAUUAAAGUGAGGACGGAGGAACUUCACGAGAUCUCUCUGGACUCGUUAGGAGUCAAAGCAGGUCACUGAGAACGAAAAUAGCAGAAGUUACAAGAAUUUCUCAUCUGAGGAAGACAGGCAGAGGUGAAGUUUAACAGAUGGAUAAUCUGCCGCCGAAGGUGAAACACCUGUCGCUUCAUAGAGUUUACAUUUUACAGCUCAAAAAACGUUCAAACACCUCCAGGUCUUCUUGAGCUGCGCUUCAUAACCCCUCCUCAGCAGAUACAUCUGAAGACACAAUGAGAGUCUUCGAUUUACAAGAAUAAAGGCAAAAAAUUGUGAGAUAAAAGUUGUACAAUUUAAAAAACUUGUGAUUUUAAGUGAAUAGUUGGCAUCUUAUGAAGUUAUAUGUGAAUGUGGCUGCCUACCUUAAUUAAUUUGUCACCCUGUAAGUAAUUAAACAUGUAGAUUACAACUUUUAUCUGGUCAAUUGAAGUCUUUCUGUAUAUUUCCAUUUUUUUUUCUCGUAAAUGCGCACUAGUGCAUCUGUAUGUGCAGAAAAAAGAUAAAAUAAACACAUUUUUUUCUUUAUCCUUUAAUUUUAUACCAUUAUUCUCAUGAAUGUUCAAAUUUUUUGUGUAGAUUUACUUAAUUUGCUGAAUUUCAAUAAUAAACAGUAUUUUUCUUGUAAAUUUAAGACUUUGUUAUUGAAGUUUUCAUUAGUUUUCACUCUAAAUGUGGCCCUAAUUCUCAGUUCAAACUCACAGCACUGAAUUAUUUAUACAAAACAUUUUUUAAUUCCAUAUAGCCCUCAAUUCGAGGCCUCGUUUUUAACCAAGCUUUUGUUUUUAUUUGUUUUUAUUUCCAUGUGCUGAUGUUCUGUGCUUUGCAACUGUUUGUCAAAGCACUUUGUAAACUUCUGUUUUUAAAAGUGCAAUAAAAUUAAAGUUAUUAUUAAUAUCUUUAUAUAAUAUAUUAUAAAGAUAUUAUAGAUUCAAAACAAACAACAAUGUAGAUGCUGUAUCUGCUUUGUUUAGUAUUUGCAUUCAUGUAUGAAUGUGUACAAGUUGCUGGAAGUUUCUGCUGAUAAGCCUGAUGACUAUAAAACAUGUUAAACUGAUUUAAAUUAGAAAAACAUUUUUAAAUUAAAAAAAUGCAAAGUGAGAUUUCAGAAGAAACUGAAUUCGCUUUAAAAUGAAGAUAUGCAUACACAGAAACAGGAUACGGUUGAAAACAAUAGGCCUUAAUAUAGAAACGGGUGCUGAUAUGGAAAACUCCUUAAAAUGGAGAAACAGACUUGAUUACAAACAAUGAAACCAACUACAUGGAGGAAAAAUGUUUAAAUACAGGAGAAAUGAGAUGCAAAAGUAGAAAGCAGAACUAAAUACAGAAAUUGACCACAAUCAGAACAACACAACGAAAACCAGAAAAGAUCAGCAGUUUGAAAAACAGGACCGCAAAUGUGGAAAAUGAAACCAAAUGUAAGAACUGGCAAUAACCUACAACACAGAAGCAGCGAGCAGAUAGAGAAAUCACAGCUCCAGAUCAACAACAGAGAGAGAAAACACAGCCAGUGUGUUCCUGUAUUUGGCUGACUUGUGUUGCAUUCACAGGCAACACUUUGAGCCAGUUAUGUGUUGUCAAUUUGAAACUUAACUUGCUUUUUGCGGCAUUUUAACUAACGCGCCGCAUGUGUUGUUGAAUUGAUUUUUCUGCUUUCGCCUUGUGUAUUUUCUUGAGCUACGGUCGAGCUCCGAGGGUCCAAAUAAUGGGCCCAAAAUUUUCCAUUUUCCAUGGAAAGUAGUUUAGGAAAACAAAUCAGAAACAGUGCGACAAACCAGACAAGUCCUGCAGUCGUGCAUUCAUCAAGUAGUCUGCAGGUAACUGUCAUUUGUGGCAUUUAUUUGGCAGGCAUCAAAUUAGAGUUGCAGCAACAGUAAACACAAAGUUUUUCACAAUAAAUCAUCACACGCCUACGAUGAAGAGGAAUUCGACAUCUCCAUAUGCACUGGGUCGACUGAGGACGGCUCACAAACAACUUUUCCUCUUCUCACAGCUCUUCAUAAUACAAUCAGAAACAUGCUUGCAUAAGUUCACACGCCAUCAAAAGCUCAUGUCCAGAGUCUUUAUUUGCAAUAAGACGAGCUGUUGUCAAACACAAGCUGAAACCGUGUCAGGAGUUUGUCCUCGUCAACAGAUUAUCAAUAACCAGAGAGAAGACGCGUCCAAUUCAAUAAAUCUACAUGUGAGAAAAGUAGGCGGGGUCACGCAGACGGUUGUUUUUUUGUGCAUUGUCCAAAACCGGACACAUGGACUGUGUAAUUCUAGUCCAAGAGUGACCACACAGGGCCGGUUGUGAGGUCUGGGAGCUUUGGAGACUGGAGACAGAUGGGAGAGGGGCAGGAUUUUCUCUGGCCAGAGAAUGCUUUCCACUGUUUCUAGUCUAUACAAAGCCCAUUGAUUUUCGCCCUGUGUUGAGAGAGGAGCUGGAGGGAUAUCUGGUUUCAGUGUCCGCAGCACGGUCAUGACACCUGGACCAGGGUCAGGUCUGCCCGGUCCCUGGUGGAGACUCACAGAGCCCAAGGGAGAAGUGGGCACAAAAAUGGCUGAUUCAGCUCCAAGUGUGUACAUCUUUCUCCUUCAUAAUGUUGUUCAUAAGUUUGCCUUUCUCUUAAAUUGAAAAAGGAAGUUUCUUCAGUGCAAACACAAGAAUAGAAACUUCAAACUGACAGUCUAAGUGUCUUUUAUUGUAACACUGACAUUUCACCGACAGAAUCCUCUAAUCAGUAUGGAUCCACCUGUUACUGAGCAGAUUAUCAUGAUCGACUCGCGAGGAGGUAUGAGCAAAUUAACAGGGGUGUGUCCAGACUUUACUGGCUGGGGUGGCCCAGCACAGACUUCUGCAGGGGUGGCAGAAAGUAUGCGAGUCCAUACACUGAAAAAUCACAUUUAGUGUUGGAUUUGUGUGGAAGCACCACCUAGCUUAGCAGAGGCUACUGGGUCAAGGAAAGUACCACAGUCAAUUCUCCUAAUUGAGCUAGCUUAGCGGUGCAUGUAAACAUACUGAAUGAUGUCAGUUGUUUACUUUUCUUUGUUUGUGAAGGAGUGCAACCCCCAAUUUCCACCGCAUCCAGAAUGGCUAAGAAAAGGCCGUAACCGCCGAUCAUAGCUGAUCGUAACCGUUCAAGUUAAUGUGUCAAUUUCCACCGGCUUCUUUCCGUUCUGCUCCGGAACGCCGGACUCCGCAGCUGAUUGCAAGAGUCCUAUUCUUUCCGGAUGCCGGAGCAUGCCGGAUAAAUUCAGCACAGAUAAAUCUGUGCUGGAAAGGAAGUCGGGCACAGACACAGAAUAAAACAUUCGGCUUCUUUUCAAAAUAAAACAGUACGAACAAGUGAAAAGUUAAUAGACAGCAUUUCAUCCCAAUGACACUGUGGAUGAGAGGAUGCUGAUUUUAGAAGUCUAGAAGUAGAUUUCCUCCUCUGGAAGGACACAAUCUACUGCUUUUAUGGUUAGCCUCUGUGGCUAAUAAACAACUUAUCGCGAUUCCUGCUGUCUGAAUCCGCCACAAAAUUUGCCUCACAAACGGAUCCGGUAGGAAUUGGUGUAUGACAAAAAUCGCUGCCAUUCCAGAUCGGAGCCGUUCCAGAUGUGGUGGAAAUCUCGGGUAAAACUGUAAUUAUGAGUCAUGGGUUAUUUGAUUUGAUGCUCCCUCUUUACUUCCUCCGUUUCAUGAAUAUUUAACUCUGAUCGUCUCUUAAAUCUGACACAAUCUCAUUCUGGUAAUGAACCAUUCACCAGCUAAUGAAUAAGCCAUUGGCAUAAACUGUUAGUCAGCCUCUAAGCUCCACCCUUGUGUCAAAUCAUGGCCACUUCUAGCUCAAACAAAACCAACAUAGCGGCAAAAAUACUGAAGUCAACACUUCAAAUAGGCAGUUGGAAAACCACGGCGUGACGUCAUGGUGGCUGUGGUGUCAAUUAAUUAUACAGUCUAAGGUCUGCGAGUGCCCACGAUCGGCCAUCUCUGCGGUGACUGUCUCUUUUCUGUCACUUGAUGGUUUUGACCUAUGCCUCUUCCUCCGCGACCCCUAAUGCGCCAGUGGAAAACCAAACUCUGCCUUCCCAUGAGCCCUCCGGACAGACGGAGAGAUUGUUCCUCAGGAAACACGGGUCAGGAAGUCAGAAGAGGAAGCUGGCCUUUAUGGUUCUAAAUACAACCCUCCUCUAGAGACCGGGUGUCAGCGGAGAAUUGGACUGUAAAUCUCCUUUAAAUGCUGACCCUCUCAUAUUUCUUGUUUUGUUGCUAUUUUUGCGACUUCGCUGUUAACCAAAACAUCAUUACUCUAGUUCACUGCAAACCGGCGCUGACAAGGCCCAGAAAGUCUCAUUUCCAACACCGUGUUUGUUUUGAACUCUGAUUGUAAUGAUGUGACGUGUCAAAGAGAUUCCAACUGAUGCCGCAUCCCACCCAGAGUGAGACGGAGGGCAGUGGAAGUGAGCGGAUGGGCAUGUUUGGAGCGAUUCAUGGGAACAACAUGAGCAAGAGCAGCCGGUGGUUAGCCACUAACAAUGCUGCGGCUACUCUUAUGGACAAUUAAUCGUUUCUAGCUCUUAUUUUCUUCCCUCCUUUUUUUCCUCUUUCUCUCCCUGCCUCUGAGGCUAGCUUCACCCAGCGAGAUGACCACAGUCCUCCCAUAUGAAUUUGGCAAACAUACCAUGAGACAUGAAAGCAAGCAAUCAUGCUGAUCUGGCUGUCAAAGCUCGUACAGACAAGAACCGGAUCGCAUUAACUCGGGAUGUUGGGGAAGAGGAGAAUGUAUACAGAAACUAAACCCACGCCGUGUCGCAGCGAACGUGGGCUGAAAGAUGACAACAUAGACUCAGACUUGGCGCUACUUCACCGCUGAUUGCUCAACAAUCAGCAGCUGAUUAGCUGUCCUGUCAGGGUUUCAAAAUAAUGGCUCACAGGUUGAUAGAAAAUAGGAAGUUGAAGGUGUGUUGAGUAAUUUAUGGCUUUUAAUAGAAGUUGAACCACUGCUGACAGUAAUACAACAUGAAUCAUGCUUCUAGGGGUGAAAAGUACAUCUACGUCACAAGGAUUCAUGACUCUACAUUUGUCUCUCUUGAACCAACAGCAGCAGAAAAGACAACUUCAAUACUUAUGCUGUAGAGAAAUAAUCAUGUUUGUUACAGGGUUUUGACCAAUCAGAAUCAAGUAUUUAACAUAAGCGGGUGAUCAUCUGUAGACAUUCUAAACUAGCGCUCAUACUCUAGAGGGAAUUGUACUGAUAGGGGUACUUAAGAGAAUGACUGAGGGUGUCCAAUCAUUUACAUAUCAAUGACAUGUUCGUCGUAUGCUAGUGAGUUAGCCAAAACUGAUGUUCAGGGUUUGUAGUGAAUCAGAAAUACUGUUGGCGUUUGUGCCUCUACAGGCUCCUAACCUUUUGUCCUCUUUGGAGAAGUCAAAUACUCAAAGAAGAUGAUGGCAUAUAAGGUAAUUUUGCAGAUUUGUUAAGUUUAUUAGGUAAUGUGCUGCUACCCCCUUGUCUUGCCUUACUUCAGUUUGACUGAUUGUAUUGUUUUGUUUUUCGAGUUUGGAAAUAUUGCGAUGAUACCCUUAUCAUGAUAUCACUAUUGCGAUAGUACUACUUUAAUUGAACUAUAUUGUGGGCAGAAUAAUAAUGAGUUGAAAGUCUGGUACUGUGACAUUCCUAGUGUCGGUAUUGGAUAAAAAUUCUUAACACAAAAAACCUAGCGUACAAAAUGUUACUAGCAUCAGGUAGCUGACGUCAUCACAGUCAGUCAAAACUCCCUUAAGGGUUUGUGCUUUUUAUUUUGUAAUAAAAAUAAUCCACCUUUGGUUACUAAGUUGUUUUAUGGUAAAUCAGGGAAUAAUCUAGCAGUGCUGUGACCAAAAGUUAUGAUCUAUUUUGUCCUACUUGAAGCUCCUGUAGACUUUUUGUCUGUCUGCCUGUGGACAAAGUGGCGCCUCUUUCAUCUGCACUAGUUUUGUCUUGCACAUGUUUAAGUCGUGUUGUCUGAGAAAAUGUGUCUUUCAGCAGUGAAACGUGAAUAUCUGCUUUGGAAAAGAUAACGUGAGGUGGUUUUUUCAGAGCGCUGUAUAUCAUCUCUAAAACCUAACCCCCUUACAGUAAUUACAGGUGUUAAAAAAUUACCUCACAGUACGUGUCAUUCUUGUCAUAGGUGGCCUUGUUUGCCUGUGUAGGUCACAAAGAGCUAUCACUGUUGAUUUCAGACUGUUUCAUAACCACUUGAAAACUCCUCACAGUAGCUUUAAAGUGUUGAGCUGGCAUGGUGUGUUCAGGGAGGCAAAGGGAAUCCUACAAUAAGGAGUUUAAUGUAAACUAUUAUGUAACUUGAGUUGACAUUAAAAAAACAUACAAUGGAAUAUACGGGUUUCAGAAACUACAGAGGAGGUGUUGUUCCACUUACAGCUGCUCAAGUUCAGCGAUUGUGCAUGUGAAUUGUUUGGGUGUGUGUGGGUUUGAUUUCUUCCAAAACAAACAUUUCAGCUGGAAAUUCAACUUAAUAAGAAUUUAAAAGCAGCAGUACGUAACAGACAGCUCAGUCAAUGGUGUUUAUCAUGAACACUAUCAGCCUCCAGAGUAAACAUCAUGUAUCAGGCAGUAAAAGCGACUCGUUCUCUUUAAAGCAAACGUUUAAUGAGACUGUGGUUGAACUAAGUGGGAUGUGGUUCGACUCAGCUUGACUUUGCUGAACAACCAGUGUGUGCAUUCAUGUUUUCGUAGCUGAUAAGUCUCUUUGCUUCAUAAUAGGUUAGUAAGUAACUGUGUCAGUGGAAAAGAGUGAUUACACAAGCCUCGGGCCAGUGCUGAGUCUUCAUUCACCCUCAAAGCCACACAAGGAAAGAGUUAUGUUUGAAUGUGCUGACCUGCUCAUCUAAUCUUAGAAAUUCUCACCCUGAUUAUCUAAAUUUAUGCUUAAGGCAAACAUGGAGACACUUUAAAUACAGCAAAAAGAGAAGUGUAAAUAAGAAGAACUGAGGUAGGAGGAAAGGAAAAACUCUGCCCUCUGUUGGCCACAAGGAGAAACUACAGCAAACUGUUGCUUUAACUUCCAAUUUGUAGUGUUUUCUGUGCUUUCUUUCAUCUCCUGCUGAGUUAGAUAAAGAUUUAACAUCCAGUCAUCCCACUUAAAUGUUAUCAGUGACCUCAAGCCUCAUCCCCAUCCUCCCUUCUGAGAGCAGGAGGCAGAAAUCAAAUCUGAGGAGUGAGUGACUGCAGCUCCAGCUGAGACUGAUAGGAGAUACAAGCUGAGAAAGGAGGACCAGCCUUGACCCGAGGAGCACAAAUCCUCAGAAAUCAACUCCACUCUGUCAACAGGGAGAGGAAAAUCCUGCCUGAAGGCUGAGAUACGAAUUGUUCCUCUUAUGUUUUUGCUUUGGAAGUCAACGGGGGGACAGGAAAACCUCAUAAAUAUUACAUCCUUCGAUUUUUUUUAGAAGUUAAAGUUCAAACAAUCAGUCAGUCAACUACAUUUAACCUGUGAGUAAUUUGACAACCCUAUUAGCAAAUUUUCAAACCAAAUGUUCAACCAUUUCUGGUGCUUUUACAGAGUGAUAAGGAUUUUGGACGAAUAGAAAUAUAUGAAAACACCAUCUCUGGUUUCAGAGGGGCAUUUUGGACUAAUUUGGAUACUUGACAGGGUCUGUGGGGUCCAAAUACAACCUUAAAGCUAACCCUUUUCAGUAUUUCUUUCAAAUAUAAAAUAAAAUAGAAAAAAAUGCAAUAUUUGACAGUGGGAUGUAACAUGAUACAGUAUAGUAUAUGAUUUAAUAUGAUGCUGUAGAAAGGGGUAUGGACAUGAGAAGAUUUCUAACAUGAUCCUGUAUAGGACAUAAUACAAUACUAAAGAGGAUACAAUGCCUAAUGAUGCCAUACAGAACAAUAUGACUUCAUAUGACCCGACACAGUGAGACUAUAUGAUACGGUAAGAUAUGACAAUGCGAUAUGAUAAGAUAUGAUAUAUGAUACGAUAUGAUACGAUACGAUACAAUAUGCUAUAUGAUAUAUGAGAUGAUACAAUAUGCUACAUGCUAUACGCUAUAUGGUAUAUGAUAUGAUAUGAUACGAUGAUACGAUACGAUCUGACGAUACACUACCAUGAGGUACGAGUGAUACAGUACAAUUUAAUAUAAUUCAAUAGGAUCUGACAGAGCUUUCAAUCAUCUGGUUUGAUUUCAUAAACUGAAAAUGAUUAAAAAUUAGUUUUCUUUUUUAAGUUGAAUCAUCAAGUUACAACAAAUCCAAUCCAAGAGCUCAAUUGGAACUUUUUUGGCAAGUAAUCUAACAAAAAUAUGACAUAUGUGAGCAAUUUUAAUCAUUGCAGUAAUCUUUCGCAACUGUCCUUUUGUUGAUUUGUAAAUACCACCAGGACUCAGUGUAUCAAGGAUCUUUCAGCAAACGGAACUUCUUCAGCAUCUGUGUGACACCUUGUCAAAAUUGUGUCUGUAGCUGUUUACUGUCUACAUGUUCAAACAGGAACACACUACACUCUAUCCCCUGAGAAAGAGGCUGCAUUUCUGCCCUUUUUUUUUUUUUCUUCUUCAGUUUUUCAUUUUGGCAGGAAACAGGUGCCUCCUCCCUCCGAACCUGGAAAGAUAACUUCAUCUCACAAUAUCAGGCAGGCCCGAUGAUGCAUCUGAGAGUAUUAAAGUAAACAAGCAGAGUGUACGAGACUUCUGAGGCCAAGGUCCCGCUAAAAAAAGAAGACAUUUCCACCACAGAUGAUGGUUUUGUUCUGGAGAUCUGACCUUGGAGAGAGUUCAAACUGUACGCAUAUCUGUUUGCAUUUACUGGACUGAAAUAAACCCUGUGUUUAAUGUGUGACAUAUUGCAAGUUCUUUAGGCCACUUCACACCCUCUAUAGGUCAUUUCAUGUUGCUGAAUCCCCUCCUUCUUCCCUGCUGUAGUUAUUCCAAUUGAUGUGAUCCACUUAAUCAAUGAGUGACAGGGCCUUUGAACUGCAGACGUGAUUUCCAGCAAGUCUGUCAUCCCACCCUGUCGUCUGCGAAAACACUCUGGGGGGAGAUUACUCCACGCAGGCCUGGCUCGUAAAACUCUUUUUUAUGUUAAAACACACACCCAGGUCCAGAAAAAGUCACUUAUUGCUGAAUGUUACAUGUACUCCUUUAACAGAGAAGUAUUUCCUAAAGGUUAGAACUUAAUCUUGAGGAGAACUUAGGCUGCGUUUAAGCUCUGUAUUCUAUCUUUUCAAUCUUUCAGAGCAAAAACAACAACUUCCCGGCCUCCUCCACAGCUGAGACAAAGCUCUCCACCCCCUGUGUGGCUUCUGUGUAGGCAAAGAAGAGGAAGGGAAGAAAGGGAAUGUUUUGCCUCUCUCUCCCCUCCCCUCUUCCCCCUCUCACCUCCCCGGGGCAGCUCUGUGUAGUAAUAAACGUCCCCCAUAAAUCUCCCCCUCACGCCAUCCUCCCCUCCUCCAACUCCAGCUCCAACCUUUUUUUUUUUUUCUUUUUCUUUUUUUUUUGUUAACAGCUCCUUUUCUUCUCUCCCCCUCUCCCUCUGCUUUUCUUUUCCUCUUCUUCUCUUCUCUAUUGCAACCCAACCCUGACAUUGACUCUGCACAUGGCCGAUGGCUGCUCUGUCAUGGAUUCAGAGGGCGGGAGGGGACCACAAUAGACUUGUAUAGGUUUCACUCUGUGCAGCUUGGCUCUUUUCUAUGUGGCUGUCAUUGUGAAGGGCUGUGGUUGAAUCUGGUGAGGUCACUCAUGGAUCACAUUAAUCUCUCUUACCUGAUGGAGUGACACAUCCAGACUCAGAUUCAGCACAGGAGGGCAGCAGUAAAUGUGCAGUAGUGGAAACUGUGGGGAAAAUAAAUAAGAGAGUAGCAUUAAAUGAGGGAAUGAACGUGGACAGGAAAGAGUUAAAAUCCUUGGCUGCUUGAAUUCACCGGAAAGUCCCAGGAGUGACGUUACAGUCCAGCAAUUAAGAGUAAAUUAAUUACAGAGUAGUGUAUGGUAGCUGGAAGCCUGAGGAUAGUGGAUAGCGCCUCCCUGUAAACAACUUUAUGUACCAAACCUCUAUAGGAAAAAGCAGGAAAUUAAGCUGUAGCCUUACUUGGCCUGAGCACAUAUAGUAACUUCAUUUAUAGGCAACAGAUCUAUUUAUACAUAAAGUUAGAACACUUCAAAAGCUCUUUCAAAGACCAUGAAAUUGAUCUAAAGUGUUUAAAAAGUCACUGAAAUAGUCUGAUCACAACUCCAACUUUCCUUUAAACUAAAACCCUGCCUGUCGUAAGUGGUAGAAGAUAUAAAGCAGAGCUGUUUCCACUGUUUGAUGGCCAAAAGUAUUAAAAAAACAGUCUGUUUAGUAUUCGUACAGCGUGCAACAGUGUAGUAAUCUCAAACAAACUAACAAACCACUGCAAGUUUGUCCCC
This is a non-coding RNA of Xyrichtys novacula (pearly razorfish), 12249 nucleotides long. NCBI's taxonomy places the organism in Eukaryota, Metazoa, Chordata, Actinopteri, Labriformes, Labridae. The record is from the annotation of a GenBank genome assembly.